UGAAGGUGUUGUUUCCAGGAUGCUCCCGUCAUUUGUGGGAAUGCUUGACGGAAGAACAAAGCACUUUGGCAGGUACAGACAGACAUUCACACCACUGGCAGUGGGCUGGAAUAAGAGGAAGUUCACCAACAUGGAUGUUGGCAAAAAGACAUGUGAAGAACGUCAGAAGACUGAAGGAGGAGACCAGCCUCCUUGAAGCAAAGCAGAGUUGGACAUCAAUGACACUGUGCUUCUGGAGUGGGUUGCUGGGGUGCUACAGUGGCCUGAAGACGAGAGGAGGACAAGAGAUGACGAGAGAACUGGAUGAGAACAAGCAGCCUUGACAGCUGCCAUCGUUCAACUUCACGAGCAGCAGACGGAGUUCAGGCUCCCAACAGUGGAGGAGCUGCUCAAUACUGACAACUGUGUGUGGCCAUGGGAGAGUCUUGGCACCAGUAAGAAACAUGAUUGCAGAAGACUGAUGGUGAACAGACUGCAGGAGGAAGAGAAGGUCCUGGUGCAGGAGAGGAGGCACUAGGGGAGCCUACAAAGAGCAGUAGGAUCCCUGGAGGCACUGUCCCUACAGCUGCAAGAUCAGAGGAAGUUGAGGUUUAUACUAUUUUUGGACCGAACAUUUUGUCUUGCUUUACAAAUACCCUCCACACUAUUUUGUGUAAUGGAAUUGUAAAUAAUUUACUGCUUUAUAUGUGACUUUUAGGCAGUGGGCACAAAACCAAGUCAACAGCAGGAACAGCUACCACAAGCUGAUUCUGGGAGAAGGGGAUAUUUUUGACGACUGAUGAAGAUGAGCUCAGAUGAAGAUAGAUGUCCUAUUGCUGAGAGCUCAGACGAUGCCUGCUAUGUUUUCUGAAAUCAUACACCUCCCCUGCCACAGGAGAGGGAGAAGGCCACCUCCCCUGCCUCUUUCUCUCAUUCUCUGUCUCCCACAGGAGAGGGAGAAGGCCACCACCCUUGCCACUUUGUCUCGGUCUCUCUCUCCCACAGGAAAGGGAGAAAGCCACCACCCCUGCCUCUUUCUCUCGGUCUCUCUCCCGCAGAAGAGGGAAAAGGUCACCACCACCUCCCUUUUGAGAAGCCUGGUCUCCUGAUGUUGACCCCCUAACCCCUCACCUUCUGAACUCAUCCAGGUCAAUGUAAUUUGCCUGAUGACGUGCUAGUGGAGAAGGAAUGUGUCAUUUGAGCGCAUUUGUUCCCAUGUUUCCUCUCCUCUGUUUCUUCCGGUCCUAGACUACGGCGACAUCAUCAGCAACUCAGACAGUUGGUUGCGUACCUCUUUACUAAGGAAUGUGGUUGGUUUAUUUUCUUGGAGUAUUUACUAUGCUGCUGUGAUUUAGAUGUUUGCAAAAUAAUCCUUGGUCUCAAUGAGACUGCUAAAAUAAAUAAAUAAAGAUCUUAAUAAAUAAAUGCAUUAACUUCUUAUGGCUGUAGGGGCAGUAUUGAGUAGCUUCAAAUCAAAUCAAAUCAAAUCAAAUUUUAUUUGUCACAUACACAUGGUUAGCAGAUGUUAAUGCGAGUGUAGCGAAUUGCUUGUGCUUCUAGUUCCGACAAUGCAGUAAUAACCAACAAGUAAUCUAACUAACAAUUCCAAAACUACUGUCUUAUACACAGUGUAAGGGGAUAAAGAAUAUGUACAUAAGGAUAUAUGAAUGAGUGAUGGUACAGAGCAGCAUAGGCAAGAUACAGUAGAUGAUAUCGAGUACAGUAUAUACAUAUGAGAUAAGUAUGUAAACCAAGUGGCAUAGUUAAAGUGGCUAGUG
Long non-coding RNA from Oncorhynchus tshawytscha (Chinook salmon), 1757 nucleotides. The record is from Ensembl. NCBI's taxonomy places the organism in Eukaryota, Metazoa, Chordata, Actinopteri, Salmoniformes, Salmonidae.